RNAcentral lists this ribosomal RNA (598 nucleotides) under Papiliotrema terrestris. RNAcentral's name for it is "eukaryotic LSU rRNA". It matches the Rfam family "Eukaryotic large subunit ribosomal RNA", at positions 45 to 633 of the family's 3401-position model. The record is from RNAcentral. Lineage: Eukaryota; Fungi; Basidiomycota; Tremellomycetes; Tremellales; Rhynchogastremaceae.
AAUAAGCGGAGGAAAAGAAACUAACAAGGAUUCCCCUAGUAACGGCGAGUGAACCGGGAAGAGCUCAAAUUUGAAAUCUGGCGUGCUCAGUGCGUCCGAGUUGUAAUCUAUAGAGGCGUUUUCCGUGCCGGACUGUGUCUAAGUCCCUUGGAACAGGGUAUCAAAGAGGGUGAUAAUCCCGUACUUGACACAAUGACCGGUGCUCUGUGAUACGUCUUCUACGAGUCGAGUUGUUUGGGAAUGCAGCUCAAAAUGGGUGGUGAGUUCCAUCUAAAGCUAAAUAUUGGCGAGAGACCGAUAGCGAACAAGUACCGUGAGGGAAAGAUGAAAAGCACUUUGGAAAGAGAGUUAAACAGUACGUGAAAUUGUUGAAAGGGAAACGAUUGAAGUCAGUCGUGACUGAGAGGCUCAGCCGGUUCUGCCGGUGUAUUCCCCUCAGUCGGGUCAACAUCAGUUUUGUUCGGUGGAUAAGGGCAGCUGGAAGGUGGCACCUCCGGGUGUGUUAUAGCCAGCUGUCGCAUACAUCGAAUGAGACUGAGGAAUGCAGCUCGCCUUUAUGGCCGGGGUUCGCCGACUACCGAGCUAGGAUGUGACAUAA